RNAcentral lists this unclassified non-coding RNA (412 nucleotides) under soil metagenome. RNAcentral's name for it is "partial contains 5.8S ribosomal RNA, internal transcribed spacer 2, and large subunit ribosomal RNA". The stretch from base 1 to 120 matches the Rfam family "5.8S ribosomal RNA", at positions 35 to 154 of the family's 154-position model. The record is from RNAcentral.
GAUGAAGAACCUAGCGAAAUGCGAUACGUAGUGUGAAUUGCAGAAUUCCGUGAACCAUCAAAUCUUUGAACGCAUAUUGCGCUCGAGGCUUCGGCCGAGAGCAUGUCUGCCUCAGCGUCGGUAUUACCCCUCGCUUCUCAACCCCUGGUUGAUGCCUGCCUGCCUUUGCAGUUGGCUAGAAGCGGAUCUGGCUUUCCCAAUUGCCUUUGGUAGUUGGGUCAGCUGAAGCACAGAGGCUUGAGCAAGGACCCUUAUUGGGCUUCAACUGGAUAGGUAGAACUGGUCUUAGGACCAACUACACGAAGUUGUUGCUUGUGGUCUUUGUCUGGAGGCCAGCAGGAAACCUUUAUACCUUCGACCUGAGCUCAGGCAAGAUUACCCGCUGAACUUAAGCAUAUCAAUAAGCGGAGGA